RNAcentral lists this ribosomal RNA (505 nucleotides) under uncultured bacterium. Its description in RNAcentral is "partial 16S ribosomal RNA". It matches the Rfam family "Bacterial small subunit ribosomal RNA", at positions 28 to 507 of the family's 1533-position model. The record is from RNAcentral.
GACGAACGCUGGCGGCGUGCCUAAUACAUGCAAGUAGAACGCACAGUUUAUACCGUAGCUUGCUACACCAUAGACUGUGAGUUGCGAACGGGUGAGUAACGCGUAGGUAACCUGCCUGGUAGCGGGGGAUAACUAUUGGAAACGAUAGCUAAUACCGCAUAAUAUUGAUUAUUGCAUGAUAAUUGAUUGAAAGAUGCUAUUGCAUCACUACCAGAUGGACCUGCGUUGUAUUAGCUAGUAGGUGAGGUAACGGCUCACCUAGGCGACGAUACAUAGCCGACCUGAGAGGGUGAUCGGCCACACUGGGACUGAGACACGGCCCAGACUCCUACGGGGGGCAGCAGUAGGGAAUCUUCGGCAAUGGACGAAAGUCUGACCGAGCAACGCCGCGUGAGUGAAGAAGGUUUUUGGAUCGUAAAGCUCUGUUGUAAGAGAAGAACGGGUGUGAGAGUGGAAAGUUCACACUGUGACGGUAUCUUACCAGAAAGGGACGGCUAACUACGUG